Molecule: small nucleolar RNA, 141 nt
Organism: Grammomys surdaster
Lineage: Eukaryota; Metazoa; Chordata; Mammalia; Rodentia; Muridae
Product: small nucleolar RNA SNORA48
Exons: 1
Source: RefSeq, a predicted model, not a curated record
UACCCCUGGCAAUAAGAAAAGAGACAUCUUGUUGACGGUGUUCUUCUAUCAAUCAGGGGAAGGGCAGAUGGCAGUCCUUUGUUCAUCCUAGCUUGAUACCUGGCUUGGUAGACAAAGCUGUCUUAUGCCUAGAACACAUAA